Molecule: ribosomal RNA, 301 nt
Filed under: uncultured bacterium
Lineage: Bacteria
Description: partial 16S ribosomal RNA
Rfam family: Bacterial small subunit ribosomal RNA
Source: RNAcentral
CAGUAGCCGCGGGAAUACCGAGGGUGCAAGCGUUAAUCGGAAUUACUGGGCGUAAAGCGCGCGUAGGUGGUUUGUUAAGUUGGUUGUGAAAUCCCCGGGCUCAACCUGGGAACUGCAUCCAAAACUGGCAAGCUAGAGUAUGGUAGAGGGUGGUGGAAUUUCCUGUGUAGCGGUGAAAUGCGUAGAUAUAGGAAGGAACACCAGUGGCGAAGGCGACCACCUGGACUGAUACUGACACUGAGGUGCGAAAGCGUGGGGAGCAAACAGGAUUAGAUACCCCCGUAGUCCCUGUCUCUUAUAC